CGGGAGGGCAGCGCGGCGAGAGCGGGCGCCCCCCAGCCGUGCCAGGGCCGGCGCUGCAUGGCGCUGCUCAGCCUGCCUUGCAGAGGGAGCUCGAGUCCCGCUCUGCGCCUCGCAGCGCCUCUCCCUCCGCAGCGCACACGGCAGCGGCGCAGCGAGGUGGCGGCAGGCAGGGCUGCGGGCCGGGCCGGGCCACGAGAACCGCCGCACCGCUCCGCCGAGCUCCGAACCCCCCGAGGAGGUGGAGGAGGGAGAAAGGAGAGAGCCCCGAGGAGCCUGAGCAUCACUCCUGCUGUGGAGCUGUGCCAUAGGAAUGGGAAGAGCUUGCCAGUCUACUGUGGAGGAGAUGAUGUUAAAGCCACACAGAUGAGGUUAUUCCUAGGAGUUCCAGGAGCAGAGUCAUUUCGUCCCGACGUGCAGCACCCUGCCUGCCCUGACAGAAGGUUGCUUUCCUGCUCCAAUCUCUGCAGCCAAGGUACAGCUUAUCCUGGAAGAUGGUAUUCUACUGCAGGGAUGGGGCCAGGCUUUGGCAGAGCAAGGAGAACACCCGCAUAGGCUGCUGGAGCGCUGAGCUGUUCGUACUUCCAGGGCUUAGCUGGGGGAAAAAGAAACAACACCAAACAGAAGUCUGGGCCACUUAUUACCUGCAGGGUGUUUCUGUCCACAGCUGUUACCCAACAGCUGCGUGUGCCAGCCAAGACCCGUAUUCUCACUCCUGCUGCCUGCAGCUGGGAGCAUGAUACAGAGCUAUGGGAGAAAUACUGUGCUUUUGGCCUGCGGCUUGUGCAACCCCCAAGCAGGUGGAAUAAUGCUAAGCUAGCACUGAUGGGGCAGAGCAUCUCCUGCUUGUACCUUUCCUGCAGUUCUGUCUGCAGAUAAAGCCAUAUCCAAAAGUGGUUGCUCUGAAGGCAGCACCCUGACAGGUGUCAGGCUUGCUGAGGUGUUGCUGCGUCUGCUUGGUGCUACUGUGUCCCAGGUACCCAGCACAGACCUGGGAGGCAGAGAGCUGACCAGAACUGCCCUGAGCCACCUCCUGGCCUUGCAGGCUUAUGGUACCAAAGCACACCCCAGCAUGAGAGAUGCCUGGGUGCUCCUGCUGCUGACGUGGUGCUUCCCAGCUAGUUACAGGAAGCAGAUGUCCCAUUUGGGGCACCCUGUGCACCAUGGCAUGCUUUCAUCCCUUUUGCAGGCUCUUACGAUGCACCUCCACUAGCAGCCCCCUACCAAAACAGAACAACCCAAGAGCCUGAGCUCCCUGGGACAUCUGGGUCCCCUGCAAGUGCACAGUGGGCAGGCAGAGCCAGCAGGAUAAGAACAUGAAGUCUGAGGCAGCCUGACAAAGGACUGUUAGUAAGGACAGCGGUCCCGGAGGCUGCGAGCUGCUGGGCUUUGCUAAGAAACCCAUCGAGAUGGUGCUGGCCCCAGGGGUCCUUGCUUCUGCUGGCUGUUGGGGCAUUUUGCUGCUUUAACCUACUCCUCUCUCAGAACUGUGAGGGCUGCUAAGAUGAUUAAGAGCUUGGAGCACCUGCCAUAUAAAAAAAAAGAGCCUGGGAGAAUGGAGGCUUGGAGCGGUUCUUAUCCAUGUCUCUCAACACUUGGUGGUGGGUAAAGAAGAGAGACCAGUUCUCCUUAGUGAUGCCCAGUGACAGAAUGAGAGCCAUACUGAUAGCAAAAUACAGGAGUUCCAUUUAAACUAAAGAAAUGUUUUUUCUGUGAGGCUGGCUGAAUACUGGAACAGGUGGCACAGAAGUGUUCUGUCAUCUCCAUCUUUGGAAACGGUCCUGGGCAGCCUGCUUGAACUAACUCACGUUGAGCAGGGGGGGGGAAUGGAAGGCCAUGUUCAGAGGUCCCUUCCCAACUCAAUUCCACAAUUCCUUGAUGCGUUGUGGCUUGGUAUCGCUGUGAUGAGACAUACAUGGUCCUACCAUUCUGACUUCCAGCCAUUGCCUCCCUUCUCUGGGGCAGGUCAGGGCUUCCCUGUGCUGAGCACAGCUCAGCUGUGACCCUGCUCUGCGCAAUGCAUUGUGGCGCCUUAGCGAGGCUUCCCAUGCCCUGCAGCCCAGGUUUGGCAGCAUCAUGGUAACUCUCACACAGCUCAGGGACAGUGAAAACUCCUUCUGCUGCUAAAAGAGAUAGCUGCUGUACUGCUGGUAAAAGCAGAAGGUUGAUCCUCACCUGAGAAACACCCACCCAGCUUUCAGUCCAGGGAGACACCCCCAGGCCAGAGCUCCCUGCCCCUUGGCACAGGGGCUGAACACCCACGCAGCAACACCGACGCUCAUUAAAGGUUUACUUUUAUUUCUGGUUUAAAAUCAAAAUUAGUCAUUCUCUGUAAUUACAUUAUAUAUAGAUUUAUAGAGACAUUAUAGAAAAGAAUUUGUCGCUUUUUUUCUGCAAAAAAAAAAAAAAAAGAAAUCUGUAAAUAAAAAAUAAAAUAAACAACAAGGAAAGGAAAAGGUGGCAGUGUCCGUCUGUCCGUCCCUCUGUCGCUCCUCCUGCCCCUGCCCUCCACAGCACUCCCCCGCAGAGGGGAAGGGCUCUGGGCUGGGGCUGUGCCUCACUGCGCCCCACCGCCGGGGAGGGACAGGAGCAUGCGGAGCUGGAAAGAAGAAAUGCCAGCAGAAUAUAUUAAUAUAUCUCAUAUCUCAUUUUAUUUAAGUCCUGCGGACUUCCAGGUGGCAAAAGGGCAGCGGUUCCCUCCCAGCCCAGGCGACUUCUGGAAAGAAACAGCAUCGCUUCCAAAGUGUGGGUCCUUCCAGGAAAGGGCACGCGGCCCGAGCAGCAGGAAGGCAAGAGGCGGAGGAAUCCGGUGCGUCUCCCUGCCGCUCCCAUCCCAGCAGCUGUAGCACGAAGGGUGGCUUCCCUGUGUGUUUUCAAUAGCAGUCGAAGGGUGGGGUGUGCAGCGAGCCCCUCCUCGCCCAGGGGUGGGUGCGUGCGUGGCACCCCGCGUGGCUGGUGCUGGGGGCAGGGGAAGCGGUGCUCCGUAAGGCAGUGUGCGGCCGCGGCGAGCUGCCGGCGGGGGUGAUGCUGCAGUGCUGCUGUGAGCAGGGCCGUUGGCUGGGCCCAGUCUUUGCGAGCCCACGUGCAGCUCAGCAGUGCCUUUGUCCUCAAGGGGUAGCGGGUGGCUCUGUGUGGCUUCUCAGAAAGCUGUGCUGGCCAUGCUGGCUGGUGCAAAGAUCCGCGGGAGGCUGUCCAGGGUCUCCUCCAGUCGCCGGUGCGCUGAUUUGCCAUCUUCCCCUGUAAGCACGUGCCACAGUCAGCGAAGCCAAGGGCAGCAGCUCUGUUCCCUGCCCAUCCCUGGCCACCUUCCCUGGCCUUGCAACAGAAAUGAUACUAAUGCCUGACAGAGCCGAGCCAGCGUGGUACAGCCACAGAGCCCUGUGGCACAGCUGGCUGGGGAGGUGGGGGAGCACCCGAAGAACCAUGGAGAUGAGGCACUGGAGGUGUGGGCAGUGGGCAUGGUAGGGCUGGACUUUGGGAUCUGAGAGGUUUUUUUUUCCUAACCUUAAUGGUUCUAUGAUUCUUGUGUUCUCCAUAGCACACCCUUGAACAGAUCCCAUCUCCAAAAGCCGGCAGAGCUCCCAGUCCAGGAGCUGGGGCAAGUGGGCGAGGCCCAGGGCUGUGCCAGGUGCAGCAUGCCAACCAGCUGUGCACUUCUGCAUGCACCUACAUGGGGACCCCAAGAGCUUCCCAGCACCCCCGCGUACACACAGGGAUGCACACUCCAUGCUGAGAGAUCUCUGCCCAGCAGCCCUGCACACAGAUCUGCACGCAGCAGCCAUCCCCAGCAGAGCUGGUGACGUGGGACACAGGACACGUGGCACCUAUGUGCGCAGGCAUUGCCGCGGGGCUACGAACAACCAAGACACACAGACUCCAAAAAGUGACGUGGCUGACAGGCUCUAAGACAGAGACAUUUGUGAGCAAAGCAGGAGUGGGGCUGAGGGACGAGGACAGCUCACAUGUCCCAACCUGUGCAGCAGCUGCCGCGGUCUGGAGGCCUAGAAACCCAACUCAGAUGGUUCUCUCAGUGCCAUCUAGCAAAUAAUAAAUAACACCCACGCUUAGGGCUGUGCCCGCAGGAAUCCUCGCUGCCCACCACCGCUCUCACCCCACACAGCUGGGGCACCGUAAGCCGGAGCAUGGGGCAGGCAGGGAUCAGCCCAGGCCCCUAUCUCCCUUGGGCAGUGUGCCAUGGGGUGAUGCAGGACACUCACCACACAGCAUCAGGCUCUGCUUGGCUGCCUCCCGCACAGGCUCCUUGUCGGUUUGGCACAGGUAAACCAGCUGCUCGAUGCUCUCCUUGGCCUUGAGGCAGCCCAGCGCCACGCAGCCGGCCACGCGUGUCUGCACCUCCUCAUCCUCCAGCUGUCCCAGGAAGCACACGAGGGCCUGGGGCAGAGCGAGGGCUCAGUGCCACCACUUCAAGUAGCGACCCAGAGCCCACCUCCCCCCCUCCUGCCCACAGCGUACCCGUUGGCGGAAGCGGGGGUUUUCCGCCAGGCUGCGGAGCUGUGCCGACACGGCGCUCACCACCUUGCUGUUUCCUUCCACGAGCAGCAAGCUGAGCGCCUUCAGCCCUUCCUUCUUCAGGCGGCCCUCGGGCACACGCUUCAGUGCCCGCAGCACCACAUCCUGGUCGUCUGAGUUGAGGUUCUGCGCCAGCAGCACUGUGGGGACAGCCCGGUGAGCUGAGCAUCUGUGGGGAGCUCAGCCUCCAGCCACAGCAGUCAGAGGGAUCCCACAAUAGGAUGCUGGGGGCGCUGCCCCGCUGCUGGGGUACCUGAGCUGGAGACCUGCAGAAAGCAAGGUCCAAAGGGUGCCCCAGGAUGGGAGUGUAGGAAGGGGCUGAGCACAAGCAAUGGGGCAGGGUGGGCGAGCCUUUGGGUGGGCGAGCCUUUGGGUGAUACCCCACAGUGCUGUACACCCUACAGCCUCCAGCUCAGGGCACGGCAGAAGGGCACCCACCUUCCUCUGCCAGCUCCAUCACGUAGGUGUCGAGCACCAGGGCACCGAGGGCCUCGAAGUGGCUCCAGUACUGGAAGAUGGUGACCUGCUCACCCUGGGUGCCACCGGGUCGCCGUGGCAGCCGCCGGUUCAGCACAUCUUCCACCAGCUUCACACAUACUGUGGGAAAAUAACGGGGUCAGGGCAUGCAGCACCUCGUAGGGUCGGAGAUUCCCUUCUUGCACGUCCACACCUGCACACCCUCACCUGCAUCAGCCAGUCCUGGGUGCCGCUCACUGAUGGGUGCUGCGUACUGCGCACUGAGCACCUGCAGGAACCGCUCCACGGGGCAGGUGUAGAUGUUGGGCAGCUCCACGCAGUGGUCCCAAAGGGGCAGCACCCCUUCUUUCCGUGUUGAGAACUGCACCACUGCGGGGACAGGCGGUGUCAAGCUGCACAUCCAGCUGGCACAUCCCUCCCGUGCAGCCCCUUGCUGCCCUUACCUCCGGCAGCAGAGCCCGCUGCUUCCGACCGCUCCUCCAUCAGUUGGCACACGAUCUCCAGCACCUGCGCCUCCCGCAGCAGCCUGUCCAGGGCGAACAUCUCCCGGCACCUCAGAGGCCCAAAGGUGCCCAGGUUCUGUGAGGCACAGGUAUGCCAGUGACCUUAAGGACAGCACAGCACCCAGACCCCAGCACAGCCACAGCAAGGCAUCUCGGAGGGUCUUAGGGGGGCCAGAAACUGCGAGGAGCCAUGGCCAGCCCCAGGAUGUGUCCCACUAUUGCAUCCCACUCCCUGCAGGGAGCCUUGGCCAACCCCACCACGUGUCCCCGCAUCGUGUCCCAGUCCCCAGUCUCACCAGCAGCAGGUGGUUGCAGUUGUGGAGGUGAAGCACCAGGGCCUUAUCCAGGAACUCACUGCCGGUGCUCAUGGGGUCCGCGCUGCCCUCAGAGCCGCUGCACGUUCCAGUGUCAUCCGCUCCCACCUCACCAGCGCUGGCAGCCCUGCUUCCACGCCGUGCUCUGCUGGCCCUCCUGCAAACCAGCAAGAGCUGGAUCAGCACAGGGCACCCGAACCCAGCCCUUCCUUUCCCACCAGAGCUCAGCACCCCAAG
RNAcentral lists this long non-coding RNA (6058 nucleotides) under Gallus gallus (chicken). Lineage: Eukaryota; Metazoa; Chordata; Aves; Galliformes; Phasianidae. The record is from RNAcentral.